ACGGGAGGCAGCAGUGAGGAAUAUUGAUCAAUGGGCGAGAGCCUGAACCAGCCAAGUAGCGUGAAGGAUGACUGCCCUAUGGGUUGUAAACUUCUUUUGUUUGGGAAUAAAGUGAGCCACGUGUGGCUUUUUGUAUGUACCAUUCGAAUAAGCAUCGGCUAAUUCCGUGCCAGCAGCCGCGGUAAUACGGAAGAUGCGAGCGUUAUCCGGAUUUAUUGGGUUUAAAGGGAGCGUAGGCGGAAGGUUAAGUCUGCGGUCAAAUGUCAGGGCCCAACCUUGGCAUGCCGUGGAUACUGUCCUUCUUGAGUGCGCACAAGGAAGAUGGAAUUCGUCGUGUAGCGGUGAAAUGCUUAGAUAUGACGAAGAACUCCGAUUGCGAAGGCAGUCUUCUGGGGUGUUACUGACGCUGAGGCUCGAAAGUGCGGGAAUCAAACAGGAUUAGAUACCCUGGUA
Molecule: ribosomal RNA, 453 nt
Filed under: uncultured Paraprevotella sp.
Lineage: Bacteria; Pseudomonadati; Bacteroidota; Bacteroidia; Bacteroidales; Prevotellaceae
Description: partial 16S ribosomal RNA
Rfam family: Bacterial small subunit ribosomal RNA
Source: RNAcentral